Molecule: non-coding RNA, 896 nt
Filed under: Amalda northlandica (Northland olive shell)
Lineage: Eukaryota; Metazoa; Mollusca; Gastropoda; Neogastropoda; Olividae
Source: RNAcentral
UUAAGCUUGGCUCUGACUUAUAAAUAUAAUGGAAACUAGAAAAUACACAUGGUUUUUCUUGAAGUAGGCGAGGAUUUAGGAAAAAAUAAUGAAAGUACAGCAUAAAGCUUCAUUCAUAUUUUGCCUUAAGUAUUAUUUAAUUAUAGCAUGCUACGAAAAGUCCCGCUAACACCAGUGCUGAAGAUUAAGAAAAGAGUGAGAGCUUGUAUUAAUUCAGUUUUAUUGUCUGGUUAACUUGGUGCCAGCAUCCGCGGUUAGACCAAGGAGACAUAAUUAUAUUAUUACGGUAAAAAGACAGUUAGGCUUAUAGGUAAAUAUAAAUAAUAGCUUAUUAAAUAUUCAUAAAAAGGUAGAAUUUGAAUAUGGAUACAUAAUUCGAAAAUAGCUAACGAAGCUGAAUCUGUGAUCGCCUUGAGGGAAACUGGGAUUAGAUACCCCAUUAUUCUUGGAUAUAAAUUUGAUAGUAACUUACCAGAGCACUAUGAACCAUACAAGGUUUAAAACUCAAAGGGCUUGGCGGUGUUUUAGACCUUUCAGGGGAACCUGUCUCGUAAUCGACAAUCCGCGUUAAACCUAACCUUCUUUUUGUACUUCAGUUUGUAUACCGUCGUCGUCAGGUAACUUUCAAAAAUUUAGAAGUUAGCAAUAUAAACAGUUUAAAUUAACACGUCAGAUCAAGGUGCAGCUAAUAAGAAGGUGAGGAUGGGUUACAAUUAUUUACUUAUAAUAACGGAUAAAUUAAUGAAAGUAGUUUUAUGAAGGAGGACUUGAAAGUAAAAUAGACUAUAAAAACAGUUUGAAUAAGGCUCUGAAACGUGCACACAUCGCCCGUCGCUCUCGUUGAAAAAUGAGAUAAGUCGUAACAUAGCAGGGGUAAUGGAAAUUGUCCCUAGAUG